RNAcentral lists this ribosomal RNA (365 nucleotides) under uncultured bacterium. RNAcentral's name for it is "bacterial SSU rRNA". It matches the Rfam family "Bacterial small subunit ribosomal RNA", at positions 93 to 489 of the family's 1533-position model. The record is from RNAcentral.
CAGUGGCAGACGAGGUAGUAAUACGUAGGAACGUACCCCAAAGUCAGGAAUAAUCCCGCGAAAGCGGGACUAAUACCUGAUGACAUCUCCGGAUUAAAGGAGCAAUCCGCUUUGGGAACGGCCUGCGGCGUAUCAGCUAGUUGGUAGGGUAAUGGCCUACCAAGGCAUAGACGCGUAGGGGACCUGAGAGGGUGACCCCCACCGAUGGAACUGAGAACGGUCCAUACACCUACGGGUGGCAGUAGCCGAGAAUAUUCGACAAUGGGCGAAAGCCUGAUCGAGCGACACCGCGUGAUGGAUGAAGUCCCUAGGGACGUAAACAUCUUUUGUCAGGGAGAAAGUUCGAUGAUAGUACUGAAGAAUAA